RNAcentral lists this non-coding RNA (789 nucleotides) under Epistrophe bashanensis. The record is from RNAcentral. Lineage: Eukaryota; Metazoa; Arthropoda; Insecta; Diptera; Syrphidae.
UAUAAAGUUUUAUUUUAGCUUAAAAAAUUUAUUAUUAAUUUAUAUUAUAUGUAAAUUUUUGUGUUAAUUUAUUAUUAUUUAAAAAAUAAUAAUAAAUUUAAAUAUUUGCAAUAAUUAAUAUUAUUAUUUAAAGAAAUUUAGAAAUAGAAAUAUUAAUUUAAUAUUGACUUAAUUUGUGCCAGCAGUUGCGGUUAUACAAAUAAUAUGAAUAAAUUUUAUUAAUAAUAGUUAAAUGUAAAAUUUAAAAAUAAAAAUAAAUUUAUUAAGUGAAAUUUUAAAUUUAUAAUAUUUUAAAAUUAAAAUAUAUUGAAACUAAAAAUUUUUAAAUAUAAACUAGGAUUAGAUACCCUAUUAUUUAAAUUUUAAUUUAAUUUAUUUGAGUAGUAUUAGUUAUAUUCUUGAAACUUAAAAAAUUUGGCGGUAUUUUAGUCUAUUCAGAGGAACUUGUUUUUUAAUCGAUAAUCCACGAUGUACCUUACUUAAAAUUGUUAUUCAAUUUAUAUAUCGUUGUUAUUAGAAUGUUUUAUAAGAAUAAUAAUUUUCUAUAAUUUUUAUUAAAAUUAAUAUCAAAUCAAGGUGUAGUUUAUUUUUAAGUAUAAAUGAGUUACAAUAAAAUAUAUUUAUGGGUUUAAAUAUGAAAAAUUUUAAAUAAAUUGGAUUUGAUAGUAAAAUUAUAAAGAUAAAUAAUUUGAUUUUAGCUCUAAAAUAUGUACAUAUUGCCCGUCGCUCUUGUUAUUAAAAUAAGAUAAGUCGUAACAUAGUAGAUGUACUGGAAAGUGUAUCUAGAAU